AGUCGAGCGAAGCUUUUUAGUAGUUUACUACUAGAAAUGACUGAGCGGCGAACGGGUGAGUAACGCGUGAGCAAUCUACCUUAGUUACUGGGAUAGCCCGAGGAAACUCGGAUUAAUACCAGAUAUUCUUAUUUUUUCACAUGAAGUUUUAAGGAAAGGUCAGCCGAACUAAGAUGAGCUCGCGUUCUAUCAGCUAGUUGGUGGGGUAAAAGCCUACCAAGGCUACGACGGAUAGCUGGUCUGAGAGGACGAUCAGCCACACUGGGACUGAGACACGGCCCAGACUCCUACGGGAGGCUGCAGCAGGGGAUAUUGUGCAAUGAGCGAAAGCUUGACACAGCGACACCGCGUGUGGGAUGACGGUUCUAGGAUUGUAAACCACUUUCAGGAGGGAAGAAAAUGACGGUACCUCCACAAGAAGACCCGGCCAACUAUGUGCCAGCAGCCGCGGUAAUACAUAGGGGUCAAGCGUUGUCCGGAUUUAUUGGGCGUAAAGAGCUCGUAGGCGGUUCAACAAGUCGGUCGUAAAAGUUUAGGGCUCAACCCUAAAAUGUCGAUCGAUACUGUUGUGACUAGGAUACGGUAGAGGUGAAUGGAAUUCCGAGUGUAGCGGUGAAAUGCGUAGAUAUUCGGAGGAACACCAAUUGCGAAGGCAGUUCACUGGACCGUGAUCGACGCUGAGGAGCGAAAGCUAGGGGAGCAAACAGGAUUAGAUACCCUGGUAGACCUAGCUGUAAACGAUGGAUACUAGAUGUAGGAACUGGAUUGACGGUUUCUGUAUCGUAGCUAACGCGUUAAGUAUCCCGCCU
This 809-nucleotide ribosomal RNA is filed under the name uncultured marine bacterium. RNAcentral describes it as "bacterial SSU rRNA". It matches the Rfam family "Bacterial small subunit ribosomal RNA", at positions 60 to 874 of the family's 1533-position model. The record is from RNAcentral.